RNAcentral lists this ribosomal RNA (200 nucleotides) under uncultured eukaryote. RNAcentral's name for it is "partial 18S ribosomal RNA". It matches the Rfam family "Eukaryotic small subunit ribosomal RNA", at positions 588 to 799 of the family's 1831-position model. The record is from RNAcentral.
GCUCUAAUAGCGUAUAUUAAAGUUGUUGCAGUUAAAAAGCUCGUAGUCGGAUGUCGGGCCUAGGCGGGCUGUUGGCCUCUGGUCGAACGGCAAGCUUGGGUCUUUUUGCCUGUGGGCCCCGUCACUCUUAACUGAGGGGCGGGUGAACGCAGGUCGUUACUUUGAAAAAAUUAGAGUGUUCAAGCAGGCCUACGCUUGAA